AAAGUGCUGUCAGAGUUGAGGAU
This 23-nucleotide microRNA is filed under the name Echinops telfairi (small Madagascar hedgehog). RNAcentral's name for it is "Ete-Mir-430-P8_3p (mature (guide))". Lineage: Eukaryota; Metazoa; Chordata; Mammalia; Afrosoricida; Tenrecidae. The record is from RNAcentral.